GAUGAACGCUGGCGGCGUGCCUAAUACAUGCAAGUCGAGCGAACGGACGAGAAGCUUGCUUCUCUGAUGUUAGCGGCGGACGGGUGAGUAACACGUGGAUAACCUACCUAUAAGACUGGGAUAACUUCGGGAAACCGUAGCUAAUACCGGAUAAUAUUUUGAACCGCAUGGUUCAAAAGUGAAAGACGGUCUUGCUGUCACUUAUAGAUGGAUCCGCGCUGCAUUAGCUAGUUGGUAAGGUAACGGCUUACCAAGGCAACGAUGCAUAGCCGACCUGAGAGGGUGAUCGGCCACACUGGAACUGAGACACGGUCCAGACUCCUACGGGAGGCAACAGUAGGGAAUCUUCCGCAAUGGGCGAAAGCCUGACGGAGCAACGCCGCGUGAGUGAUGAAGGUCUUCGGAUCGUAAAACUCUGUUAUUAGGGAAGAACAUAUGUGUAAGUAACUGUGCACAUCUUGACGGUACCUAAUCAGAAAGCCACGGCUAACUACGUG
RNAcentral lists this ribosomal RNA (497 nucleotides) under uncultured bacterium. Its description in RNAcentral is "partial 16S ribosomal RNA". It matches the Rfam family "Bacterial small subunit ribosomal RNA", at positions 28 to 507 of the family's 1533-position model. The record is from RNAcentral.